GCCCAUCCCGAUGCCACUCUCUUAGGGACUCCUUCUCUCUGCAGUUCUCACUGCCCUUUCCCCUAGUGACUCGCCCGCCGCCUGCUGUCACCUCCUAUUUUGAGAUCAUUGGCUGGGACAUUACCGCACAGACCACCGCAAGCCUGGAAGGUUCCUGGGUGCCUCCUCCUUCCUUCAUCACAUUUUGUCCCCCCACUCCACCACCCCCCCCUUAUUUUAACUCUUGAGAUAGGAUUUCAUCGUACAGCAAAAGCUGGCUUAAAUUUGUGGCAAUCCUCCUGCCUCAGCCUACCUCUCCACUGCUGGGAUUACAGGCAAGCGCUUUAAUCCAAGCCCACGCAUUUAAUUAGCAGCGACUCCCUUGCCAUUCUACCAUCCUGAGUCUAGAAGGAUAUCUAGAUGUCAAAUGUCUUAUUGAUCAACACCCCUCUGGAGCAGUUCAGGGCAUUAUUGAUACCUGCCCUGGUUUGAGAAGAGUUAGAGUUGAUGCUGUUCAUGUGAGAUGUGCUAGCAAGGUCUCUGGUGGCUGGCUCGCUAAUGUGGAUCCCACCCGAGCUUCAUUUGUGACUUGGGUAAUGCCUGCUGAGGUCAGUGAAUGGUGGAGAGGGUGAGGUCAUGGUGAAAAUCCCCCUAAACCGGACACUGUGAUGCGCGUUCUUCCCAAGGAAGCAGAUAAGCCUACAGCAUAGGACUGCGGCAGGACAUUUUAGGUUUCCUGCCAGAUUACAGAGGAUAUGACUGGCAAGAGACUUUUUUUUUUUCCUGUCAUAACAGCAGAUCAGGCCAGGACACCUGAAAAGACUCCUGAUGACACACGUGACAAAUGACAGCUGGGUUGCCUGUGUGAGUGUGUAGCAAGGACCUCAGAAGCCAACUUCUUCAUUCUUUGUCAGUUUCAAAGGGGAAAGGCGGUUGAUGCCUGUCUGGUUUUGUCUCAAUAUUUUUUGCUGCUGGUUUUGGGCUCGUGCAACUGGAGAACUUCCUGUGUGUUAAGGAUCCAGGGGUAAGAGGUCAGCACAGUGAGAGGCCAGUGCACAAGUUUAAAUCUAAAAACCAGCACUAAGUCAAUCAGUUACUGUCAUUUGGAUUGGUGACUGAGAAGCCCGUGACUCAGUACACUGGCUGCAAUAAACAAUACCUGGAGUGGAAUUAUUUCCUAUUACACCCACCAAAACUUUAGAGUGGACCUGAGCCUGCAGAGUAGACCAUCUGCAAAGUGGGCUCAGUUCACAGCCAACAUCCAUGGAUGUAGGGUCAGGCCUAAUGUAAGACAAAAGCCUGCUGGGAGUGAAUGGACAGCCUCUAGAUAGCUUUGACCACUCCCUGUUAGGAGUGCCCUGUUCUAGAGCCAGGAAGAAAAUAGCUUCCACCCAGGACAGGCAGGUAGUACAAAGCCCCUGAGUUACUGCCAGUUUCUAAGAUGAACUCCUUAGCAAAAACAGAGGAGGGAAGUGCCUACGUUAGAUUAACUACCUACAUUUUCCUGAGGUGUGCACAACAUAAUGGAAAAGCAAGGAUGCCUAGGAGGCAGGAAGGGAUUCCUGCCCUGCCAGUUCUUGUUGGGACAUGUAGUGCAGCAGAGAGGCUGUUCAAAGUCCUGAAUGGAAGGAACCUUUCCUUGGAACGAAUUUGGCUUGGGGUGAGCCUGGCUGCUCUAAUCAGGGUUUCUGGAAAGAAACCUUUAAAGGCCCACCUGGGGUUUGGCUGCUGCUCUUAACUGGUAAUCAAGACCCUUUGUAAGCAUGAAAAAGUGAGUCCGUUGAGUGGUUCUUCGAAAGUUAAACGUAGAACCGCCACGUGACCCAGCAGCCCCACUCCUAGGUAUAUAUCCCAGAGAACUGAGAACACUGCUCAUUCAUCCAUGUUCAUGGCAGCGCUGUUAAUAACAAAAUAAACUCGUAACACUCAACCACCCAAAUGCCCGUUGGUGACUGAAUGGAUGAACAAAGUGUGAUUCAUAGAAGCAAUAGAUUGUGCGGUCAUAAAAAGGGUGAAAGUACUGAUAGAAGGGGCUGGGAGAAGGCUUGGCGUUUAAAGUGCCUGUUGUACGAGCAUGAGGGCUGUGGUUCUAAUCCCCCAGAGCCCAUGAAAAUGCCAAGUGGAAUUGGUGGCUUGGAAGAUAGGAGAUAGGAUUCCAGAGCACGCUGGCUAGCUAGAGAAGCCAAAUCAGCAAGCUCUGGAUCCAAGUGAGAGAACCUGCCUCGGUGAAUAAGGUGCAUUCACACGCACACACAUGUCCAUACACAUGCAGUAUAUGUGUGGCAGCAGUGGGGACCGGGACACCGCUACACGUCUCCAGAACACAUCUAUGAGCUGUUGAUGGCCAGCUGAAACCUCAGCUCACCCUCCAUCUGGAGCCUGUGCUGGUCAAAGGCAUGCAUCAGUGUGAAACAUGUAGACACACCUCACUGUGAAACCUCAAACCCAUGGACAGGCACUACACACAGCCCUGCGCACACAUCGGAGACUCUUCCCGGAAUCCCCAAAACAUGCCGCUCGCUCUAUCUCGUUUAUCUUCCGCUACCACUCUGUGUGUGUGUGUGUUGGGGGGUGUGCAGGUGCAUACUCCCCUGGGUGAGCAUACAGAGGUCAGAGAAGGAUGUUAAGACAAGGUCUCAUUGACGCAGAAGUUCCCCAUUUCAGCUAGACUGAGACCUGGAUGGCCACUCUCUUUGUCCCCUGGGGGUUAUAGGCGACUCAGUGGUACCCAGCUUUUUUACAUGGGUGCUAUACACUUGAACUCAUUCUUGCAGAGCAAGCACUCCUGCUCACUGAGCCAUCUCCCCAACUGUCCUCCAUUUUGCCCCCUUAAAAUAGGGUCUCAGUACAGAGCUCAGGCUGGUCUCAUACUUUAAAUAAAUUCUCCCACCUCAGCCACCUGAGUGUAUACUGGGAUGAUAGGUGUACGCCACCAUGCCUGCUUCUCCUGUCAGUUUGAAAGAUGGGAGGUUCUUGUUUUCUUGACGGAAACAAGAAUCAUUUAAACACCGGUUCUGCUUCCCCAGGGAAAUUCGAAUCUGCUCCCAAUCUGGUGGUAGCUGCUUUCCCAUGGAACACUGAGUUAGCAGGCUUGGACCUGCCACUUCUGGCAACCACUCUCCCGUGGCUGGCUGGCAGGCUCAGUUUUCAGGUAUUGUCACAUGUCACAGCCUGCUAAGCUGGCCUUUGCCUCACUAAAAAAAAAAAAAUGCCUAGAUGGAAUACGUCAGCUGGUUGCGUUUGUCACACAGCCAUAAAGGCUCAUCCAGGGGUGCCGAGAAAUGGUCCACGUGGCUUUUGUCUAUCUGUGACAAGGCUCCUGGAGCAAAUAAUGUCAUCAGCUCAUCCUUCAGACUCUGCUGUCAGCUGCUAAGGAAAACGUCGAGGAAGGAAGGACUCAGGGCAAGGCAGCAGCUGCUGAGUCAGAAUGAUGGUAUUGGAAGGCUUAGAGGAGAGGCUGUCAAGGCCAGGUUCCUCCUGCUGCAGUGUUAGCCUUCUGUGGCCCUGCCAGGAUCCAUCGGGAAGAGGAGAGGAGGCAGCAGAAGCCAGGGGAAGUGGCUCAAGACGUGACCAAGAAUGUUGUGCUUGUGACUGCUUGAGCUGAAACAGGAGAAAACAAAACAAAAACAACAACAAAAACUCCUUUAGGUAGAGAGCUCAGCCACUGUUCCAUCCGAACCAGUGUGACUCACAGUCACACAUGGUUCCUUUCCUAAAUCAGAGAAAUCAUGGACUAUAGUGAGGGAACUUGGUAAGAACUCAGUUGAUGGACCCCAUCUUGCCUUUCUUAUCUGUAAAAUGGGUCAUUACAUGUAAAGAGUGGUGAAGAUUAAAUAAUAUAGAUGUA
Cricetulus griseus (Chinese hamster) is the source of this 3826-nucleotide non-coding RNA. The record is from RefSeq and is a predicted model, not a curated record. Lineage: Eukaryota; Metazoa; Chordata; Mammalia; Rodentia; Cricetidae.